Long non-coding RNA from Triticum dicoccoides, 4637 nucleotides. RefSeq lists it as uncharacterized. The transcript is spliced from 7 exons. Lineage: Eukaryota; Viridiplantae; Streptophyta; Magnoliopsida; Poales; Poaceae. The record is from RefSeq and is a predicted model, not a curated record.
GAUCCAUCUCCGCCGCCACCCGACACAGCAGAUCGAACUCCGCCGCCGCCCGAUCGCACGCCCGAUCCUCCCCUACGCCCAGUCCACGGCGGAUCCAUCCCUGUGCCGCGCCGCGGCGGAUCCAUCACGUUUUUCACCGACGAGGUACGGGAUCGCCGCCGCCGACCUUCCUCAAUCUUUUGUCUAGGGUUCCCCGCCUCCGCCGCCGCCGCCGACGGCGCCAUCGCGGAACCUCAGGGCAGGUCAGGUCUCCAAGCAGCUCGUGCUUGUGUGGAGUCGCCGCACUCCGCACAGCGCUGCCGCGGCGGAUCCCCGGGGCCGCCGCCGCCGUUGAACCCCAUGGACGAAGCCGUCCCACGAACGACCGAUGCAGGCACCACAACAACAGCUCGUUACCGAAAUAUCAGGGGCGCAGAUGAUGUACAGGAUCAUCUCGUCCAUGCCAUGGAACAAAGCCACCUGCUUGACGAGCUCCAAACAGAGGUAAGGCUUGAUGCCCCACUGGAUCCACUUCAGAAAAGGGUGUUGACUGUUCUGAAUUAAGCCAAACAUGAAAUCUGAUUGAGGUAGGGAUGAAGCUCUUAUUUUGCAUAGUAUUUUUAGGCAAUUUCAGAAUUUACGUAACAUAUAUAUGUCCCUAGAUUAGAUAGUAUGCAUGCCCUCUGUAACCUGCUGAAUGUCUCUUGGGUAACUAAAAAUAUUCAGAAUAAUCUAAAUUUCAGAAAUUCUUCAUGGAUUAUGAAUGGCAGUUAUAUGCCACCAGAUAGCAAGAUUGCUACUUGAACAAUUUUUUAUCUGUGAAGCUUAGGCGUUAGACGAACUAAAUUUGCUAUCAUUUUCCACCAUUUAUAUUUAUUCCUAAGGCCAUCAGAGCCAUUAAGACACUUGCGCUGCCCUAAGGGAGUCCUGUUACCCUUUUUUUAGUCAAUGACCCACCAGUCACCACAAGUGCAAAUGGUUAGUUUACUAAAAUUCAAUGACAGUAUAUAUUUACUCCUGUUUAUUUGCACGUAUGGUUUCUCAAUUUCACUUCUCAACAUGGUAUUUGCAACUUAAUCAUUACUCAACCGACCUGCUUUUGGUAUACUUUUUUACAAGUAUAAUAAAAAAAGGGCAACCUGGUGCAUGUAGCUCCCGCUUGCGCAGGGUCCAGGGAAGGGUCCGACCACUUUGGGUCUAUAGUACGCAGCCUUUCUCUACAUUUCUGUAAGAGGCUGUUUCCAGGACUUGAACCCAUGACCUCAUGGUCACAAGGCAGCAGCUUUACCACUGCGCCAAGGCUCCCCUUCUUUUACAAGUAUAAUCACAUUAAGAUAUAUUACUGUAUCCCCCCUAAAAAAGGUAUAUUACUAUAAUUUAGUAGGGCGCUCAUUCGAUUCACAAAACAAAUUUUACACGAGAUUGUAUGAGCUUCUGCAUAUCUGCACCUAUAUUAGAAUCAGAUCAAACUCCUACAUUUACUAAUAUAGUUGAUGCCCCUUAAAAUGAUUGAAACAACAUUGUUAUGCAUGAUUAUCGAUAACUCAGGCACUCAGCUGAUUAGGCAGUAAAUGCUGACUAUACCAUGUAAGAUGCAUUUUCCCUUCAGAAUGUAACAUGUGUUUUUAUGAAUUUUUGGAUGCGAAACCAUUUGCACACUAGCAUGCAUACGCCCUGUCAACGAAAAUAAUAAAAUGAUUCAGCACAAUCGCAAGAUAUCAGUAGUUCAGCACACCAUGGUAGCACAUGCAUGGCCCACCAUGUACUCUCACUACUAACACCAUAGUCAAUUCAAGCGACCUAUUGCUAGGAAGUGCAUGAGCUGAUGCUAGCAUGCCCUGACAAAACAUGAAAAAACUUGUUCUCUAAUGUAUCUACCACCUGAGAGAUUGUUUCGAUACAAUUAUUGUAUUUAAGAAAAUAAUUACCAGGUUCUCUGAUGUAGUAGUUCACAGGUUCUCUGAUGCAAGGGCUCUGGGUCAUCAGCUUCGGCAAGUGGAGACAGGGACUGGCAUGGACAUCGUGGACUUUCACAACACGGCCUGCAGCACAGUUCCAACGUGCUCUGCUCCUCGGACUCUGUCUGUCUGUACAACAUCAACAACAGCCUGAUGGUUGCCUCCGGGCCAUGGCAUGGCAGGACAUGCAGGUUCCUAUUCAAUGGAGACAUAUGGAGGCGCUGGCCUGUCGCACGCUCGCUGGACACACAUGAGCAGCCACAUGGUGACUGUCUUCACGGGAGUUUUCUUUCUCCCAAGAGCGCCAGCUGCCUGAAGGGACAAAACUAUGGAGGGGCGGUGAAGAGAUGAUGUUGAAGUACUACGUGUGAUGGAUGAAAUGCUGCUGAGACGUUACAAGAUAUUCCAGCAGAGGCAUCCUUACCGUCCGCAUUACAAGGAUAUGAGAACAUUGGGGUCCUGAAGGCAGUGACCUGUUUACCAUACACAUAUUUACUUCCUUUCUAGGGCGGAACAAUGGAAGGCACAAUUCCAAGUACAACUCUUCAAGAACAGGAUCUCGGAAGGAACAACAAUUUACAAGCUUGGCGCUUACCAGGUUCAUUAUGCUAGGGAAAGAUACAAAACUGUAGAUUGUCCAUGGAGAGUAGUGUUUGCCCAAAAAACUACCGUGGAACCAAUUGUGCCUCAGCCACCAAACUUUCCCAAGUAUGGAUAUACCACCUACAAUGUACACAGUAUCAAAGCCGCAUUAAACAAAUUGUUUUGUUGUCAGGUCAGCCACUCUUAAGAAUUGUUUUUAUUGUAUAAUUUUCCACUUCUUACAACUUACAAUUUACUGAACUUGUGAAUGUUGGAUUAGUUACCAGCAUCACAAGAAUAUUUGCGCCGAGCGGCGGAUCGAUUGACCAGAUAUGAGAAAAUCACAUCACAAACGUGUGCCAACUUUUAUCAUUUUUCAUUCUGUGUUCUUAUCUCUUCACUGAAACAAUGAUAUAUCUUUCCAGAAUGCCCGCCGUUGUGACGUUUUGGGGAAAAUUAGCAGAUUCCCUUGAUGCAGACAAAGCUACAACGGUGGAAACUUGGCCUCCAAGUCCUGUCUGGCAACUCGAUGGUACAUAAAUCUAACUAUUUCUGAAGCGGCAACUAUUCUAGGAAGAUCUACUGCAAGAUCCCAUCAAAUUGAGAUAAGCACCGGCUCACAGGGUCAUCGCUAGGCAACAAAUACAACAAUCACAUAAUUAUCAGCCGUUGACCCUGGUGGAAUCAUGGACCAGUACUAUAUACUGGAAAUAAAGAGAACUGAAGUGUCCCCUUCCAUGGCAUUGGGGGGCCUUUCUCUGCCAGGCGUGGCGGCUCCUUGGUAGGAUGAUGCAGCUGGCUCGGCGGAGGCUAGGACACAUUACAAGCCCCCUCACCCACCCCGACGAGAAGGGCGGCAAGACGACAACUGCUUGCUGAUUUUUAUCGUUGCAUAAAUAUGCUUAUUUUUACGUUGCUUGUUGCUGAGCUGGAGAUGGAAAGAACCAAUCUUACUAUACUGUUGUGUGAGAAAUAUUAGUCUGCAAAUUGAUUACUAAUCCCUCCGUCUCAAAAUAAGUGACUCAACUUUGUACUAGCUUUAGUACAAAGUUGAGUCACUUAUUUUGCGAUGGAGGGAGUAUUUUCUAUCCUUUGGUGAAAUGACCAGGAGCAAGCAAGAUGGUGCCAAUACUUGCGAGAUGAUAGUGUAGUUGGCCUUGACUUCCUUUUCUGGUCCUAACCAAUUUUAGAGAACAGUGUAAUGUUUUUUAUUGUUUAUUAUCCUCGGCGCAUACAAAAAAUUACUUGAGUCUCAGGUAGCCAGGUUGCAUUAUCACCAUCUUACAAAUAUUUGUUGUGCAGGUCUGAGCUGUGUGCAAGGAAGCUCAAGACAUUGGGGGAAAGCAUUGUUGGAUAUGUGGUAUCCUGACCCUCUUACUUGGGACUUGGAUAAGUUACAAUCUUACAUGUUCUGAGUUCUGUACUCCCAUGUACUUGGGUUCAAGAAUUUAUCUUGACAUUAUUUUAAAUUUUCUCUAAGAUGUGCAUAUCACCGCUGAAUUUUUUGCAAUAUAUAAAUUCAGUGUUACUGUGAACACUUGAACAAUACAUACAGAUGUGUAGAAUGAGAUUGUUCUAUACUGAGGACUGUAGUUUACUGAUGUAUAUUAUUAAUAAGCUCCUAAUAAAUAUGAUUUGCCAAAAAACAAAUUGCGCAUACAAGAGUCAGCUAGGUAAGUAUGAUUUAAUAGGUUACUGAAGAUUUGCGAUGAAUAAAAAUGGCACGGUCAGCUAGGUAAAUCUCAUUGAGUUUUACACAAUGAGAUGCAUAGAAAUAAUUGUUCUUCCUUGUUCAUAUGUUGCACAUAAUAAUACAAAAGGUUUAUUUCUAUGUAUGUUUAUUUUUGCAGAGUACAUAUCAGAGAUGGCGAGGGAUUAUGUCGAUGUUCAAAAAGAAUCAUAUUGUACAAGGGUCCCGAGGCAAUGUCGUUGGAAGGGGUCGAAAAUUUUCUAAGCUUUAUACAACAAUAUUGGAUAUGCAAGCAGAAAAAAAGGCUAAGGCCCCUUUUGGUUCAUAGGGUUGGAAUAAUAAUAGGAAUAUAAAAAUUAUAGUAAAUGAGAUGUCAUGUAUCUCAAAUCAUAUGAAUAGUAAUACGAAAAGAGAUGUCCUUUCAUUCA